AUACUGUGAAACUGCGAAUGGCUCAUUAAAUCAGUUAUCGUUUAUUUGAUAGUACCUUACUACUUGGAUAACCGUGGUAAUUCUAGAGCUAAUACAUGCUGAAAACCCCAACUUCGGGAGGGGUGUAUUUAUUAGAUAAAAAACCAACGCCCUUCGGGGCUUCUUGGUGAUUCAUGAUAACUUAACGGAUCGCAUGGCCUUGCGCCGGCGACGGUUCAUUCAAAUUUCUGCCCUAUCAACUUUCGAUGGUAAGGUAUUGGCUUACCAUGGUUUCAACGGGUAACGGGGAAUUAGGGUUCGAUUCCGGAGAGGGAGCCUGAGAAACGGCUACCACAUCCAAGGAAGGCAGCAGGCGCGCAAAUUAUCCAAUCCCGACACGGGGAGAUAGUGACAAUAAAUACUGAUACAGGGCUCUUUUGGGUCUUGUAAUUGGAAUGAGUACAAUUUAAACCUCUUAACGAGGAACAAUUGGAGGGCAAGUCUGGUGCCAGCAGCCGCGGUAAUUCCAGCUCCAAUAGCGUAUAUUAAAGUUGUUGCAGUUAAAAAGCUCGUAGUUGAAACUUGGGUCUGGCUGGCAGGUCCGCCUCACCGCGUGUACUUGUCCGGCCGGGCCUUCCUUCUGGAGAACCUCAUGCCCUUCACUGGGCGUGUUGGGGACCAGAACUUUUACUUUGAAAAAAUUAGAGUGUUCAAAGCAGGCCUUUGCUCGAAUACGUUAGCAUGGAAUAAUAAAAUAGGACGUGCGGUCCUAUUUUGUUGGUUUCUAGGACCGCCGUAAUGAUUAAUAGGGACAGUCGGGGGCAUCAGUAUUCAAUUGUCAGAGGUGAAAUUCUUGGAUUUAUUGAAGACUAACUACUGCGAAAGCAUUUGCCAAGGAUGUUUUCAUUAAUCAGUGAACGAAAGUUAGGGGAUCGAAGACGAUCAGAUACCGUCGUAGUCUUAACCGUAAACUAUGCCGACUAGGGAUCGGGCGAUGUUCUUUUUCUGACUCGCUCGGCACCUUACGAGAAAUCAAAGUUUUUGGGUCUGGGG
RNAcentral lists this ribosomal RNA (1032 nucleotides) under Dematiopleospora donetzica. Its description in RNAcentral is "SSU rRNA". It matches the Rfam family "Eukaryotic small subunit ribosomal RNA", at positions 76 to 1119 of the family's 1831-position model. Lineage: Eukaryota; Fungi; Ascomycota; Dothideomycetes; Pleosporales; Phaeosphaeriaceae. RNAcentral also lists the same sequence under 1 other name. The record is from RNAcentral.